RNAcentral lists this microRNA (21 nucleotides) under Macaca fascicularis (crab-eating macaque). RNAcentral describes it as "novel_miR103-5p". Lineage: Eukaryota; Metazoa; Chordata; Mammalia; Primates; Cercopithecidae. The record is from RNAcentral.
ACGGUCCAUUUUGCUCUGCUU